This 170-nucleotide ribosomal RNA is filed under the name Acidothrix acidophila. Its description in RNAcentral is "5.8S ribosomal RNA". The stretch from base 59 to 170 matches the Rfam family "5.8S ribosomal RNA", at positions 1 to 111 of the family's 154-position model. From Rfam's summary of the family: 5.8S ribosomal RNA (5.8S rRNA) is a component of the large subunit of the eukaryotic ribosome. It is transcribed by RNA polymerase I as part of the 45S precursor that also contains 18S and 28S rRNA. Lineage: Eukaryota; Fungi; Ascomycota; Sordariomycetes; Amplistromataceae. The record is from RNAcentral.
GCCAGCUCAACCCUCAACAUUUUGAACCUGAGUGUCACAAAUAUAAUAACCAAAUUACAACCUGCAACAAUGGAUCUCUUGGUUCCGGCAUCGAUGAAGAACGCAGCGAAAUGCGAUACGUAAUGUGAAUUGCAGAUCUCCAGUGAAUCAUCGAAUCUUUGAACGCACAU